RNAcentral lists this ribosomal RNA (2193 nucleotides) under Amphilina foliacea. RNAcentral describes it as "SSU rRNA". It matches the Rfam family "Eukaryotic small subunit ribosomal RNA". The record is from RNAcentral. Lineage: Eukaryota; Metazoa; Platyhelminthes; Cestoda; Amphilinidea; Amphilinidae.
UGCGAAUGGCUCAUUAAAUCAGCUAUGGUUUAUUGGACUGUGCCCGUUAAAUGGAUAACUGUAAUAACUCUAGAGCUAAUACAUGCCGAUAUGCCCUGACCUUCACGGGAAUGGGUGCACUUAUUAGUACACAAGCCAACCGGGCAGUGGGUGGGGGCCUCGUGCUCCCUCCCCGCCUGCCCGCAAACUGUUUGGUGAAUCUGGAUAAUUGUUACAGAUCGCAGUCGACCUUGAGUCGGCGACGGGUCCUUCAAAUGUCUGCCCUAUCAACUUUCGAUGGUAGGUGACCUGCCUACCAUGGUGAUAACGGGUAACGGGGAAUCAGGGUUCGAUUCCGGAGAGGGAGCCUGAGAAAUGGCUACCACUUCCAAGGAAGGCAGCAGGCGCGCAAAUUACCCAAUCCCGGCACGGGGAGGUGGUGACGAAAAAUACUGAUACGGGACUUUUCUAAAGCUCCGUAAUCGGAAUGAGUGAAAUUUAAAUCCUUUAACGAGGAUCAAUUGGAGGGCAAGUCUGGUGCCAGCAGCCGCGGUAACUCCAGCUCCAAUAGCGUAUAUUAAAGUUGCUGCAGUUAAAAAGCUCGUAGUUGGAUCUCGGUAUCACUGCCACUUGCCGUGUCUCCUGCUCUCGGUUGACGCAAGGGCUUCAGUCUGGGCCGCAGACCGGUCACAUCUUUUGUGGCCACUGCGACUCCUGAUGCCCGUCUCCGUGGGUCGAGCCGAUGCCAGCGACGGUGUGACCUUUCAGCCAUGUCUGUGACCCUACUCACAGGUGUGUACGAGUUUCAGGCGGUGCUCUGCCAUGUUGUAGAGUUCGUCAGCUCGUCUGCAUGCCCUCAGAUGCCCUUAAUCGGGUGUCUGGAGGCGGAUGGCACGUUUACUUUGAACAAAUUUGAGUGCUCAAACCAGGCCGAUGUUGCCUGAAAAGUUUUGCAUGGAAUAAUGGAAUAGGACUUCGGUUCUAUUUCGUUGGUUUUCGGAUCCGAAGUAAUGAUCAAAAGAGACAGGCGGGGACGUUUGUAUGGCGGCGAUAGAGGUGAAAUUCAUUGACCGUCGCCAGACAGACUAAAGCGAAAGCAUUCGUCAAGCAUGUUUUCAUUGACCAUGAGCAAAAGUCAGAGGCUCGAAGACGAUCAGAUACCGUCGUAGUUCUGACCAUAAACGAUGCCAACUGACGAUCUGUGACGGAUACCUUUAGUUUCCCACAGGCAGUCCCCGGGAAACCUUUAAGUCUUUGGGUUCCGGGGGAAGUAUGGUUGCAAAGCUGAAACUUAAAGGAAUUGACGGAAGGGCACCACCAGGAGUGGAGCCUGCGGCUUAAUUCGACUCAACACGGGAAAACUCACCCGGCCCGGACACUGUGAGGAUUGACAGAUUGACAGAUCUUUCAUGAUUCGGUGGUUGGUGGUGCAUGGCCGUUCUUAGUUGGUGGAGCGAUUUGUCUGGUUAAUUCCGAUAACGAACGAGACUCUAGCCUGCUAAUUAGUGCGUCUGUCCUCUGUAUCUGUGCUCUCGGCGGUACGGUGUUGCUGCCUAAUUUUCGUAAUUCACUGCUCGCCUUGCUCUCCCCUCGGCAUGGCAAUGUUUGGUGCUGGCUGGCUGCAGGACCGAUGACUGGCUCGCUGGGCCAGGCCUGUGCGACAGGCCAAACUGGUGUUCGGUCAAGCCUCCUGUUGCGCCGCCUCAUUCAGCCUGUUUAGGGGGGGUGAGCGCCUAGGGGUUGUAGUGUUGCGGUUGGGCAGAUAGCCGGAUGCCUUUUGCUGGGUACGGCGCAGGCGACUACUUUUUAGAGGGACCGGCAGUCUUUUAAACUGCACGAAAUUGAGCAAUAACAGGUCUGUGAUGCCCUUAGAUGUCCGGGGCCGCACGCGCGCUACAAUGACGGUACCAGCGAGUUUGAACUCCUCACCCGGAAGGGUUGGGCAAACUGUUCAAUUACCGUCGUGACAGGAAUCGGGGCUUGGAAUUGUUCCCCGUGAACGAGGAAUUCCUAGUAAGUGCAAGUCAUAAGCUUGCGCUGAUUACGUCCCUGCCCUUUGUACACACCGCCCGUCGCUACUACCGAUUGAAUGGUUUAGCGAGGUCAUUGGAUUGGCCCCAUUGUGGCAGGCCGCCGAGAGGUGUCUACCCGACAGGUGCUGAGAAGAUGACCAAACUUGAUCAUUUAGAGGAAGUAAAAGUCGUAACAAGAGGG